GAUGAAUCCAAAACCUCUAGGCCUUUGUGUGUUAUGGUCAUACAUCACCACGACAUCUGUGAUUGUCCCAAAUUGGUCAAAAUACUUCUUGAAUUCACUCUCAGUGACUGAGGAUGCCAAACCUCCGACAAAAAUCUUUCUGGUGCGGGCAGGACCUGGAGAACCCUGUAUGCUUCCGUUGCGAUUAACAUGUUGAUCGUCCCUCGGAACAGCUUUUUUUGCCUCUACAGUUCUACCAUCA
Molecule: unclassified non-coding RNA, 241 nt
Filed under: Hevea brasiliensis (rubber tree)
Lineage: Eukaryota; Viridiplantae; Streptophyta; Magnoliopsida; Malpighiales; Euphorbiaceae
Source: RNAcentral